Aethina tumida (small hive beetle) is the source of this 1779-nucleotide RNA transcript. RefSeq lists it as uncharacterized. The record is from RefSeq and is a predicted model, not a curated record. The transcript is spliced from 9 exons. NCBI's taxonomy places the organism in Eukaryota, Metazoa, Arthropoda, Insecta, Coleoptera, Nitidulidae.
AAAAAAAUUGAAUAACUCGAUAAAUUCAUCAAGUCACCCAAAAUAAAUUUUACUUCGUUCGUCAUAGCAAUGUACAACUUAUGAGAAUCCAAACAUCAUUCAUCUCAUAAGAAUGGCACUUCAGCUCCACAAAAUUCCUCGUAACUUAAUACAAAAUGGACAACGCCUUUGGGCCACUACAACGGAGACGUUGUCUAGAAACUUCCACUCCGAGGGCAACUUCCCCCAAGCUGUUGCCACUGCACCGGAGUUCUCUGCUGAGAAGUCUCUUCCCAGUCACAUUCUCAGUGAGGGUCAAAUAAGAACUUACGCAAGCAGGAAGCCUGGUUGCAAACAGCCGUCAUGUCCGAAAAUGAACAAAUGUCCCAAGUUUUACCUCAAGGGAUGCUCAUGCCCCAAAUGCGAACCCAAGAAGAAAUUAAAAUGUACUAAGCGUGAGGCUCCCUAUCCCGCAUACAGCGAAGCUUGCGUCGAGGAAUUGGCGGAGAAUCCGUCUGAGUGCGUGCAAUGUCCGUGGCGCUAUUGCCCCAACUUCAAACCGAAGAACCGCGGUUUCCACCAGAAAGUGGAAGCUACCCAACAGCUUCAGCAACCACAAUACGGCGAUAGCAAGAGUUUGCAGUCGAUAUUCCUCAUCAAGAAGAAACCCUGCGAGAGGCCGCCCAGCAUCUGCGAGAAGCAACGCAAGCUGCGCGAACGCCAGAAGGAGGAGCAGAAGAAGAAGGAUUGCGAGGACUCGCUACGCACCAACAAGAAAAAGGCCAUGGACUGGAGCGAGAUCGUGCGCAUGUGGUACUACAAGCGCAACCCACAUCUCCUGGGCCGCGACGACAUCUUCUUGCACAAGAAACGCAACGACCACGACGCAGUGAGGGAGGACGACCCGCAGACCUACGAAGCCUUCGAGUACGACCCACGCGAAGCCGAUCUCGAGCACAAGAGGAAGAGGAGGGGCGUAGAAAGGAGGCCGCCCCACUGCGGCAAGGGCAGACGCAACAAGCCCGUCAAGGACUGUCCGCCGGGCUGUGGACGUUGCUCCGCCGCCCCGUUGCCCAUCAACGAGACCAUGCGUCUGGCGCCGAUCUUGGACGCGUUGGAAAUGAGCAGUCCGCACCCGCCGUGCCCGCCCAGGAAGAAGAAAUGCCCCAAGGUGGACUACAGCAAGAACCCGAGCACGAAGCCGCCGUGUCCGUGCAAGAAGCCUAAAAUGCGUCCGAAGGUCUACCCGGAGCCGCACAGCUAUCCGCAUCCCAUCUGUCCGAUCAAAUGUCCGGAGUCGUGCGAGGAGAGACGCAGGAAGGAGUGCUGGAUAAACAGGCAAAAGAACAAGAAGAAGGCCUCCGGCCUCCAUGACGACGACAUCAUCGGCAUGGAGCUGGCCAAAGGUCCUUGUCAGAGGGACCAGGAUCCACCCUCCAGAAAUCCCAAGACCAAGGAAAGAAUGAACCAGGGCAACAGGGGCAUGGUCAGGAAGAAGGUGCACAAGGGCUGGCCGCCUCAGAUCAAGGGCAAACAGCCCAAAUCCAGGGGCCAAUGUCCCGAAACUGUCGACUUGCCCGGAAACGGGCCCUAUAACCCGCAAGCCGACUGGUAAAACCUAAGUUUCUGCCUCCCCGCUCUGAGGUACCAGUACCAGGACCCCGUCCAGCAGCAGUUGGACAUGGACGGACCGGAGGAAAGGCAACAGGUCGAGUGCGUGAAACAGGAAGGUUGCAACAAACACAAAGACGGCAAAUGCUGCCCGAAAAGUAAAUGUUGUCCUAAAAAAAAAAUGAAAAA